This 787-nucleotide long non-coding RNA is filed under the name Vitis vinifera (wine grape). RNAcentral describes it as "long non-coding RNA (VVIN_LNC002266)". The record is from RNAcentral. Lineage: Eukaryota; Viridiplantae; Streptophyta; Magnoliopsida; Vitales; Vitaceae.
UGGAAAAGAGAAACAUCGACCCAACAAGUAAAAUCUAUUCUUGAAUUAAGAACAAAGUGAAGGAAGAAAAGAGAUUCAUUAUUCUUGAAUUGAGAAUUAUUCGUGAAUUAUGGACAACGUCAAGAACUUACAAUGUAGACUUCUGCAAAGCAGAAAAAUUGUACUGUUUUGGAUGAUGAAAAGGGAAAAGAACUCUCAUGAUAUGAAUUGGUGCUAUGUACUUGAAAAAGUCACAACUAAUAACCUGCUUAAUCUUGUUUAACUAGAAACUUCCUAGCAACAAGAAACCCAUCCUAGGAUUAUCCUUAGAUUUUGUCUUCUUUCUUCUAGUUGCUAUGGGGAAUCAGUCAAGUAGAAAAAAUUAAAUACACAUAUAUGCAACUGCUUUUGUUAAGAAGUCCUGGAUCCAGUAUAGAUAAGGGUCUGCCUAAUCAGUAAUCGUCUAAGAAGAAUGUCUGCAGCUCUGCAUUCCCUCAUCCAAACUGAAUACUAGAGCAGUCACAAGCACAAAGUACAACACCCCCAAUAUAAACAGAGAUCUAGCUUUAGAUAAGCUCUUUUUCUUCAAGAAACAUUCACCAUGAGAAGUUCAUUUAACAUUUAGAACAUCAUUUUGAUUUUGUGUUAUUACCAAAUACUAAUAUCUAAGAUUGGUCACUAAAUGUAAUGGAAGAAAGCUGCAACAAAUAGGAUCAGAUAAUUGAAGGAACAGAGCUUGAAAUGGUUGUUCAUGAUCAAAUCUAUAUAACUUUAAGAAGUGUUUGAGAUGAUAAGAUCGUUUACCAGU